Molecule: long non-coding RNA, 336 nt
Organism: Fundulus heteroclitus (mummichog)
Lineage: Eukaryota; Metazoa; Chordata; Actinopteri; Cyprinodontiformes; Fundulidae
Exons: 2
Source: RefSeq, a predicted model, not a curated record
CCAAAUGUUCAUGUCUGUAACAAACCAGACAUGGAGGUCCACCUCCUUGGUCCACAUGUUCACGUCUCUAAUAACAAACCAGACAUGGAGGUCCACCUCCUUGGUCCACAUGUUCACGUCUCUAACAAACCAGACAUGGAGGUCCACCUCCUUGGUCCACAUGUUCACGUCUCUAACAAACCAGACAUGGAGGUCCACCUCCUUGGUCCAGAUGUUCAUGUCUGUAACAAACCAGACAUGGAGGUCCACCUCCUUGGUCCAGAUGUUCACGUCUCUAACAAACCAGACAUGGAGGUCCACCUCCUUGGUCCACAUGUUCACGUCUCUAACAAACCA